RNAcentral lists this ribosomal RNA (467 nucleotides) under uncultured bacterium. RNAcentral describes it as "partial 16S ribosomal RNA". It matches the Rfam family "Bacterial small subunit ribosomal RNA", at positions 28 to 506 of the family's 1533-position model. The record is from RNAcentral.
GACGAACGCUGGCGGCGUGCUUAACACAUGCAAGUCGAACGGAAAGGCCCUGCUUUUGUGGGGUGCUCGAGUGGCGAACGGGUGAGUAACACGUGCGUAACCUGCCCUUGACUUUGGGAUAACUUCAGGAAACUGGGGCUAAUACCGGAUAGGAGCUCCUGCUGCAUGGUGGGGGUUGGAAAGUUUCGGCGGUUGGGGAUGGACUCGCGGCUUAUCAGCUUGUUGGUGGGGUAGUGGCUUACCAAGGCUUUGACGGGUAGCCGGCCUGAGAGGGUGACCGGCCACAUUGGGACUGAGAUACGGCCCAGACUCCUACGGGAGGCAGCAGUGGGGAAUAUUGCACAAUGGGCGGAAGCCUGAUGCAGCAACGCCGCGUGCGGGAUGACGGCCUUCGGGUUGUAAACCGCUUUCGCCUGUGACGAAGCGUGAGUGACGGUAAUGGGUAAAGAAGCACCGGCUAACUACGU